RNAcentral lists this long non-coding RNA (486 nucleotides) under Cyanistes caeruleus (blue tit). Its description in RNAcentral is "lncRNA (ENSCCEG00000009569.1)". The record is from RNAcentral. Lineage: Eukaryota; Metazoa; Chordata; Aves; Passeriformes; Paridae.
CCUGGCUGCAGCGCCGCGUUGCAGCCGGCAGGGGGCGCCAGCGGGUCACUACAGAGCCCCCCGCCCCUUUCCGGGGUCCGAGGUGGCGCGGGGGCUCCGGCCGGCCGAGAUCAACCCGUCCCCAUGGAUCUCUUAACAGCCAAGAGGUUCAUACUUUAUAGGAAAGUACACAAGAAAAUAGAUUUCUGAAAGAUGUCCCUCCUGUGUACAAGAAGGAUGUCCCAGAUGCUCGGUGUGUUUUAGUUUCUGCUCCAGAAAGGCAAAUGUAUGCCAACACAGAGAUAAUCCUGGGAAACGUGCCCUACUGCUGGUUUUACCUAUGCAGCAUACAUGAUCUGCCUUUAUCCAUGGACUGAUCAACAGAUCUUUCAAUGCAUAUCCAGCUGAUGAGACACCGUCGAGGCUUUUGAGUCCUAUUUACUCUCUGAAAAUCCAUAGCUUUUUAAAAGAAAUAUUACAAUGCAUUGUGAAAAGUCUGUAACCCCC